This 439-nucleotide ribosomal RNA is filed under the name uncultured bacterium. RNAcentral's name for it is "bacterial SSU rRNA". It matches the Rfam family "Bacterial small subunit ribosomal RNA", at positions 8 to 479 of the family's 1533-position model. The record is from RNAcentral.
AGAGUUUGAUCCUGGCUCAGAAUCAACGCUGGCGGCGUGCCUAACACAUGCAAGUCGAACGAGAAAGGGACUUCGGUCCUGAGUAUAGUGGCGCACGGGUGAGUAACACGUGACUAAUCUACCCUCGAGUGGGGAAUAACUGAGAGAAAUCUUAGCUAAUACCGCAUAACACUUACGAGUCAAAGCAGCAAUGCGCUUGGGGAGGAGGUCGCGGCCGAUUAGCUAGUUGGCGGGGUAAUGGCCCACCAAGGCGAUGAUCGGUAUCCGGCCUGAGAGGGCGCACGGACACACUGGAACUGAAACACGGUCCAGACUCCUACGGGAGGCAGCAGUGGGGAAUUUUGCGCAAUGGGGGAAACCCUGACGCAGCAACGCCGCGUGGAGGAUGAAGUAUCUCGGUACGUAAACUCCUUUCGAUGGGGAAGAUAAUGACGGUACC